Molecule: long non-coding RNA, 864 nt
Organism: Numida meleagris (helmeted guineafowl)
Lineage: Eukaryota; Metazoa; Chordata; Aves; Galliformes; Numididae
Exons: 4
Source: RefSeq, a predicted model, not a curated record
CAAGUGGGAGUGCAUCACUUGCUCUGUUUUUCUUCUUUUUCCUGACAUCUGCCUUUGGUUGUGGUUGAAGGCAGGCUCCUGACUGAGGAAGGCAGAACUGAUCAGGUCCAAGCAGCACCAAGAGCUCGCUGAAGCUUAGCUCUGUACCAGCCAGUCUGUGGUCCCCAUCUGACAGUGCCAUGCCUCUGACUAAAGGAAUCUCAUCAAGUCAAGUCAUAAAGACCCAUCACAGCAAGCUCCUGAGAAGUCACAUCUCCAUGCCUGAUGAAGGGAAAAGCAUCUGGCCUAGCCACAGCUGGUAGGGCAGAAAUGUCUAGACUGGCUGAUGUUAAGAAAAUCUUUGGAUGACUGCUUGGCGAAGACCAGCAGGAAGAUGUGAGCUUUAACCUUCCUCCGCACUAAGAAGUACCUUCAUGGCAUUGCCUUGCACCAGGUGAAAACUUGGCCCAAAGAUUAAGUGAUUUGCUGGCCUUCAGAAAAUGUGAAGCAGAGACAGGCGAUGAACCCAAGUCACCCGGCAUCCUGUUAGAUCUUCUCUUACCCAAACUGCCAGCCUGCCUUGUGGGAAACUCAGCAAGAAACAUGGCUAAUGAGCCUGCCCAAGUGCCUGGAAGAAUGACUCUGCUGCUAAACAGCAAGUAAUUCUUUAGAUUUAAGAAAUAGCAUAACUUGUAAGGAGGAAGUUUACAAAAUAUGUCAUCUGAAGACACUGCCAUGUUUAAUGCAUUUGGUGCCAAUGAUUUGCUUUCCCUUGCUAUGCUGUUUACAGAGCAGCUGGUGCAGAGCUGUUGAGCUUGCUAUUGAAGAUGAAAGGCUGGUUGUUUUUCAAAGCCCUUUGUGUUUUUUUACUCCUAACUGGAGCUG